UAAGCGAGCGUCUAGGGUUCCGCCGGCCAUGCCGGGUCUGGUCCAAGAGACGCUACCCGCUCACUGCGGGGAACACGGAGGGAGAAAAGCCCGGGAGGC
RNAcentral lists this small RNA (99 nucleotides) under Candidatus Hydrogenisulfobacillus filiaventi. RNAcentral's name for it is "Guanidine-I riboswitch aptamer". It matches the Rfam family "Guanidine-I riboswitch aptamer". From Rfam's summary of the family: This family represents a conserved RNA structure found upstream of the ykkC and yxkD genes in Bacillus subtilis and related genes in other bacteria. The function of this family is unclear although it has been suggested that it may function to switch on efflux pumps and detoxification systems in response to harmful environmental molecules. Nelson showed that this riboswitch senses and responds to guanidine and it was renamed Guanidine-I riboswitch. The record is from Rfam by way of RNAcentral. Lineage: Bacteria; Bacillati; Bacillota; Clostridia; Eubacteriales; Clostridiales Family XVII. Incertae Sedis.